Molecule: ribosomal RNA, 252 nt
Filed under: uncultured bacterium
Lineage: Bacteria
Description: partial 16S ribosomal RNA
Rfam family: Bacterial small subunit ribosomal RNA
Source: RNAcentral
UACGGAGGGUGCAAGCGUUAUCCGGAUUCACUGGGUUUAAAGGGUGCGUAGGUGGGCAGGUAAGUCAGUGGUGAAAUCUCCGGGCUUAACCCGGAAACUGCCAUUGAUACUAUCUGUCUUGAAUACCGUGGAGGGAGCGGAAUAUGUCAUGUAGCGGUGAAAUGCUUAGAUAUGACAUAGAACACCAAUUGCGAAGGCAGCUCACUACGCGAAUAUUGACACUGAGGCACGAAAGCGUGGGGAUCAAACAGG